GACGAACGCUGGCGGCGUGCUUAACACAUGCAAGUCGAACGAAGAGCGAUGGAAGCUUGCUUCUAUCAAUCUUAGUGGCGCACGGGUGAGUAACGCGUAAUCAACCUGCCCUUCAGAGGGGGACAACAGUUGGAAACGACUGCUAAUACCGCAUACGAUCUAAUCUCGGCAUCGAGGAUAGAUGAAAGGUGGCCUCUACAUGUAAGCUAUCACUGAAGGAGGGGAUUGCGUCUGAUUAGCUAGUUGGAGGGGUAACGGCCCACCAAGGCGAUGAUCAGUAGCCGGUCUGAGAGGAUGAACGGCCACAUUGGGACUGAGACACGGCCCAGACUCCUACGGGAGGCAGCAGUGGGGAAUCUUCCGCAAUGGACGAAAGUCUGACGGAGCAACGCCGCGUGAAUGAUGACGGCCUUCGGGUUGUAAAGCUCUGUUAAUCGGGACGAAAGGCCUUCUUGCGAAUAGUGAGAAGGAUUGACGGUACCGGAAGAGAAAGCCACGGCUAACUACGUG
RNAcentral lists this ribosomal RNA (510 nucleotides) under uncultured bacterium. Its description in RNAcentral is "partial 16S ribosomal RNA". It matches the Rfam family "Bacterial small subunit ribosomal RNA", at positions 28 to 507 of the family's 1533-position model. The record is from RNAcentral.